RNAcentral lists this ribosomal RNA (437 nucleotides) under uncultured Bacteroidales bacterium. RNAcentral describes it as "bacterial SSU rRNA". It matches the Rfam family "Bacterial small subunit ribosomal RNA", at positions 28 to 455 of the family's 1533-position model. Lineage: Bacteria; Pseudomonadati; Bacteroidota; Bacteroidia; Bacteroidales. The record is from RNAcentral.
GAUGAACGCUAGCUAUAGGCUUAACACAUGCAAGUCGAGGGGCAGCGAAUAGAUAGCUUGCUAUUUAUGUCGGCGACCGGCGCACGGGUGAGUAACGCGUAUCCAACCUGCCCAUAACUAAGGGAUAACCCAGCGAAAGUUGGACUAAUACCUUAUGUAUUCGUUUGAUCUCAUGAGAUUACGAAUAAAGAAUUAUCGGUUAUGGAUGGGGAUGCGUCUGAUUAGCUUGUUGGCGGGGUAACGGCCCACCAAGGCAACGAUCAGUAGGGGUUCUGAGAGGAAGGUCCCCCACAUUGGAACUGAGACACGGUCCAAACUCCUACGGGAGGCAGCAGUGAGGAAUAUUGGUCAAUGGACGCAAGUCUGAACCAGCCAAGUAGCGUGCAGGAUGACGGCCCUAUGGGUUGUAAACUGCUUUUAUAUGGGGAUAAAGUGGG